Molecule: ribosomal RNA, 465 nt
Filed under: uncultured bacterium
Lineage: Bacteria
Description: partial 16S ribosomal RNA
Rfam family: Bacterial small subunit ribosomal RNA
Source: RNAcentral
GACGAACGCUGGCGGCGUGCUUAACACAUGCAAGUCGAACGGAAAGGCCCUGCUUGCAGGGUACUCGAGUGGCGAACGGGUGAGUAACACGUGGGUGAUCUGCCCUGCACUUCGUGAUAAGCCUGGGAAACUGGGUCUAAUAUCGGAUAGGAGCCAUUCUUAGUGUGAUGGUUGGAAAGUUUUUUCGGUGUAGGAUGAGCUCGCGGCCUAUCAGCUUGUUGGUGGGGUAAUGGCCUACCAAGGCGGCGACGGGUAGCCGGCCUGAGGGGGUGGACGGCCACAUUGGGACUGAGAUACGGCCCAGACUCCUACGGGAGGCAGCAGUGGGGAAUAUUGCACAAUGGGCGCAAGCCUGAUGCAGCGACGCCGCGUGGGGGAUGACGGCCUUCGGGUUGUAAACUCCUUUCGCUAGGGACGAAGCUUUUUGUGACGGUACCUAGAAAAGAAGCACCGGCUAACUACGUG